This is a non-coding RNA of Biomphalaria pfeifferi, 1062 nucleotides long. The record is from the annotation of a GenBank genome assembly. NCBI's taxonomy places the organism in Eukaryota, Metazoa, Mollusca, Gastropoda, Planorbidae.
AUACAUUCAUCCACUUUAAGCUCAUGUCAUCAGCACGGAAACAAGGAAGCACCCAAUGCAUGCAUUUUUAUUGAUCACAUCAGCAAGGGUCUCCAGAGUUUAGACCUUUGUAUUCAGGGAGAUGUUCUGUUCAAUUAACUGAAAUGUUUAUUAAUGAUCUAAAAACAUUGAUAGGAAGCUUACCUAGUUACCUGCACCUUGGGAUCACUCUACUAUAGCAUGUAGAAAAGAAGACAUAUUUAAAAAAAAGAUCUGGUGCUGUCGGUUUCAACCCUGCCCAUCUCUAGGCACGCCACCAGCAUCAAUUCUCUCUUUUUGUCACAAUAGAAACCUAAAUGUAUUCCCAGUACAGCACUCAACAGAGAGGGCCCGGCCAGCUGUCUGGUCAGCUUAUUGACUGUUUGCAAUUGGGUGAUGCUUCACAUCAUGGUCUGAAUUUUGGUUUUUAGAAUCUUAUAAUGAUUUUUGUUUUGCUUUAUUUCAUAAAUUUAGUUAUAAAUCUGCAUUAGUGAAAUGAUUCGCUUGCAUGAAGGUAGUUUCUAAUCAAUAAAUGAAUGUAUGUAACUCAGUUCAUAACUGAUUAAGAGUUAACAUCUUUUUGUUAAAUAUAAAUUGUUGUUGCAAUUAUUCAAGUGGACCAAUAACCGUCUCACCUAAGAGCUUUAGUUUUAUCGAAAAGUGUAAAAAAGCUAGAGUGAAGGUACUGAGUGUAACACUUGGCCAUGACUUAGUCUUGGCAUGAUUCGUUUUUCCUCAAGAUCUUUUUUCUUAGCUGUUGUAGACUUAGUUACCAGAGUUGUGAGACUUAAGAUGUAUAGUGCCAAAACUGUUCACUAAAAUUUGCAACACUUAUCAUGGCAAGCUCUUAUGAGUUCAACUGGGAUGACUUAUCUACCUUGGCUAAGUUUACACUCUAGUUUUUUUACGUACAUAUUCGGUUGCUUCUGUUGUUUUUUUUAAUCACAAUGGUUGCUGUUUGUCAGGUGAUGCCAAUAUAAACUUUGAAAUGCAAUAUGUUUUGCAUCAUUAUAAUAUUUAAAUAAAAAAAUGACUAUGUUUUUA